RNAcentral lists this ribosomal RNA (375 nucleotides) under uncultured organism. RNAcentral describes it as "partial 16S ribosomal RNA". It matches the Rfam family "Bacterial small subunit ribosomal RNA", at positions 527 to 896 of the family's 1533-position model. The record is from RNAcentral.
GUAGGUGGCAAGCGUUGUCCGGGAAUUAUUGGGGCGUAAAGCGCGCGCAGGCGGUUCUUUAAGUCUGAUGUGAAUGCCCACGGGCUCAACCGUGGAGGGUCAUUGGAAACUGGAGAACUUGAGUACAGAAGAGGAAAGCGGAAUUCCACGUGUAGCGGUGAAAUGCGUAGAGAUGUGGAGGAACACCAGUGGCGAAGGCGGCUUUCUGGUCUGUAACUGACGCUGAGGCGCGAAAGCGUGGGGAGCAAACAGGAUUAGAUACCCUGGUAGUCCACGCCGUAAACGAUGAGUGCUAAGUGUUAGGGGGUUUCCGCCCCUUAGUGCUGCAGCUAACGCAUUAAGCACUCCGCCUGGGGAGUACGGCCGCAAAGGCUG